GUGGAAGGCUGAGCGAGUGCUGUACACACGGCUCACACGUGUCCCGCUGCAGAAUCGGGGGGUGACGAUGGGGAGGGAGGAAGCGGCGAGGAGAUCUACGGUUGUCCCUAGGUGUGGAGAUCCCAAGGCGGAGCAAAAGAAGGGAAUGAGGUUAUCUCUGGCAGCUGUGAAAAGAUGACAGACACCCUGGUUAAAGGAGCGUGAAGGGAGUCAGAGCAAACGGAGGGUCUUCAGGGCUCCAUCCACGCUGGUGACUAGUUGUAUGAAGCAAGUUACACGGGGUUUCAGCGUCCCAAACAGUGCAUAGGCAAUCAGAAGAGGACUUGGGAUCCCCUGGAACUGGAGUUACAGAUGGUUGUGAACUACCAUGUGGGUGCUGGGAAUUUACUCCAUGGCCUCUGGAAGAGGCCUCUUAAUAGGUGAGCUUCAACCAAUAAGAGUUCAUGUGUCAAAAAACAAGAUGGAAGGCUCCCAAGGAAUGACAGGCACACGCCUUUACUCCCAGCACUCAGGAGGCAGAGGGCCAGCAAGAUUGCUUAGCAAGUAAAGGCACUGGCCACACAAGCCUGAUGAUCUGAGAUAGAUUCCACAGAACUCACAACCGUUACCUGUUCACCAUGAAGAGCGGUGUACCCUGGCAGGACAGAAACCUCCAUCUUCAGUGAAGAAACACCAUGACCACAGCAACUCUUAUAAAGGAAAACAUUUAAUUGAGAUGGUGGCUUACAGUUCAGAGGUUUAGUCCAUUAUCAUCAUGGUGGGAAGCAUGGCAGCGUGCAGGCAAACAUGGUGCUGGCUACAUCUUGAUCAGAAAGCAACAGGAAGUAGACUGGGUCAUUGAUAUUGGCUUGGACAUCUAUAAGACCUCAAAGCCCACCCCCAGAGUGACACACUUCCUCCAACAAGGCCACACCUCCUAAUAGUUCUACUCCCUAUGAGAUUAUGGGGGGCCAAUUGCAUUCAAGCUACCACAGCUUCCUUCUUCCUAGUCCUUUAUAUAGGCUGCCAGCAGAAGGUAUGGUCCAGAUUAAAAGUGGGUCUCCUCACCUCAAAGGACUCAAUCAAGAAAAAAAUCCCUCACAGAUGUGCCAGAUGCUUGGGUUUUAGUUAAUUCCAGAUGUAGUCAAGUUGAUAAUAACCAAAAAUGGCCAUCAUACCACCUCACCAACUCCUCCCAUUUGCUUUUAGGCUAAGACUUUUAGUAUCACCACCAAUGUCUAUCUCAAACACUCAUCAUCAGAAAAUCCUGUAGAGGUUAGCAAACGUGUAUACAGGAUACUUGUGGAACAUAUCCAGAAUCAUGGGGUUGUCACCAGUCCUCACCAAUGGCAUUGCCACUUACCCUCAUCAAACCACAGCUCUCAAAUCACUUAGCAUUUUCAAAUGAAACCUUCCCUUCCCUCAGACUUCUCUCUGUGGUCCUCAUUGUGGUUCAGUGUCCUAGAA
This 1446-nucleotide long non-coding RNA is filed under the name Cricetulus griseus (Chinese hamster). Its description in RNAcentral is "lncRNA (ENSCGRG00015033133.1)". The record is from RNAcentral. Lineage: Eukaryota; Metazoa; Chordata; Mammalia; Rodentia; Cricetidae.